This 428-nucleotide ribosomal RNA is filed under the name uncultured bacterium. Its description in RNAcentral is "bacterial SSU rRNA". It matches the Rfam family "Bacterial small subunit ribosomal RNA", at positions 355 to 774 of the family's 1533-position model. The record is from RNAcentral.
UAGGGAAUAUUGCGCAAUGGAGGAAACUCUGACGCAGCGACGCCGCGUGGGUGACGAAGGCUUUCGGGUCGUAAAGCCCUGUCGGAAGAGAAGAAAAACGAGAUGGCUAAUAUCCAUCUCGCUUGACGGUACCUUCAAAGGAAGCACCGGCUAACUACGUGCCAGCAGCCGCGGUAAUACGUAGGGUGCAAGCGUUGUUCGGAAUCAUUGGGCGUAAAGCGCGUGUAGGCUGUCAAUUAAGUCGAGUGUGAAAUCCCUGGGCUCAACCGAGGAAGUGCAUCCGAAACUGAUUGGCUUGAAGACGGCAGAGGAAGGUGGAAUUCCAAGUGUAGAGGUGAAAUUCGUAGAUAUUUGGAGGAAUACCGGUGGCGAAGGCGGCCUUCUGGACCGAUCUUGACGCUGAGACGCGAAAGCGUGGGGAGCAAACA